Molecule: RNA transcript, 1008 nt
Organism: Rosa rugosa (rugosa rose)
Lineage: Eukaryota; Viridiplantae; Streptophyta; Magnoliopsida; Rosales; Rosaceae
Exons: 6
Source: RefSeq, a predicted model, not a curated record
UGGAGGUUUCUCCCAUCAUCUCUCUCUCUCUCUCUCUCUCUCUCUCUCUCCGUCUCCUCCAUACCUAAACAAGAUCUACUUUUUUCUCCCCUUCUAAUUUUCGAUCUCUCUCCUCUUAUAGUGUUUUCAAUCUUCUGGGUGACUGUUGCAGUAAGGAUAAGAUCGUCUCCCAUCACUUGUCAGCCAGGGAUGGCCGAUUCGUCGUCGUUUUGGAGAAACCGUGCUAUAUUCAGUUCGAGUACUUGGUGUACUACGAGACCCGCAUCACCGGAAAGCUGAGCUACGGCGCGAUCACGGAUCUGAAGGGCAUUCAGGUACAAAGAUUGUUCUUUUGGUUCGACGUGGAUGAGAUCAGGGUCGAUUUGCCGCCGUCCGAUAGUAUUUACUUCACCGUUGGGAUCAUGAAGAAAAGCUCGAUGUCGAUCAGUUCCAGAAUGUUCAUUCUUGCCGGGACGGGCUUUCGGCUUGUUCUGCUUGAAGCUUCCUCUGCCUCGGUUUCGUCGAUUUUUUCGAUAUAUAUAAACAUCAAGGUUGAGGAUGCUCAAGGCCAUGAAGCACUAAUAGAAGGGCUUACUGAUUCAAUAGCUGGAUCUUUUGUAUACAGUAUAAUGAUUCUCAGCUACAAUAUUUGCUUUUUGAAACAAAGGGAGGUGGAAUCAGAAAGGAUAGAGAAGAUGCCGGAGGAACAUGCAGCCGUGAACCUGCUUUCUAACUGUGCUCGAGGCUCGACAUGAACAUCACUGGCAGAUUCAUUGGCAGAUAUGGUAUGAUUGCAGAAAAGAAUACAUCUACCUUUGUUUUCUUUAAGAAAUUAUAUGAAAGUUGCUGCAAGAGAGGUAGCAGAUGCAGCUAUGGGGAGGAACAUGAAGAGAUUUAUGUUUUUUUAUGUUGUAUUUUAUUUGAAGUUGUAUAUGGAUUGUACAGUAUAUUGUAGAAUUAUAUAGUACAUUUUAGUGGGCCAAAUUGUAAUUUUUUUUUAUAUAUUCACCAAAUUUUGCCACUGAUGUU